GUGGGGACAGGGAAGUUCAUUGUGGAGGUUACUAGCUGAGUGUUGAUCAGUCAUCUAAUCCCCUCGGGAAAGGUCUGAGACAAGAGCCAAUCUCCGUCUUCACAGGACAUCAUCUGAACAGGUGAGCGAGCGCACAGGAAAGAUGGGUCAGAAUGCGGCGUUCACGCACAAGACGGUGGAACGCAGCAAAGCGAACCAACUGAUGAGAACUCCGUUACCUUGGAAACACUCGCGGCUGGCCAAUGAGUUCAGUGUGUGAACUGGCACAAGAUGCUAGAACCCAAUUCAGACUACUCUCCUACCAC
Molecule: RNase P RNA, 305 nt
Filed under: Sinocyclocheilus anshuiensis
Lineage: Eukaryota; Metazoa; Chordata; Actinopteri; Cypriniformes; Cyprinidae
Description: Nuclear RNase P (ENSSANG00000006297.1)
Rfam family: Nuclear RNase P
About the family: Ribonuclease P (RNase P) is a ubiquitous endoribonuclease, found in archaea, bacteria and eukarya as well as chloroplasts and mitochondria. Its best characterised activity is the generation of mature 5'-ends of tRNAs by cleaving the 5'-leader elements of precursor-tRNAs.
Source: Rfam by way of RNAcentral